CGCACGUUUGUAACGAAGUUCCCCAGAAAGCAUUUUCUUGUUUUACGUUGAGCUGAACCUAGCAACAUAUAGUCUGCUGUCAAAGCGUGUGAUGCGUGUUCUUCUGUUGUGCAUGGACGCCGCGGUGACAUCGUUCAGCACACGACGAGUCACAAGUAUGAACACAGAAGUGAUGGCCGUGCUGUCUCCAAGAGAACAUGACGCAGCUAGCAGACACCAAAGCUGACUUGGACGAGUGUCACCUCACUUACAGCCCCAGCAAAUGCCUGAUUACGUGUGUACUACUUCUCAAGUACUUUACCUGCGACGUAUUAACGUCUCCACAUGAAUGUUCAGAUACAGGAUCAAGCCCAAAUCUCGCCACUCAAGUUUUGCAGGUUCAGUCAGG
Molecule: long non-coding RNA, 388 nt
Organism: Ornithodoros turicata
Lineage: Eukaryota; Metazoa; Arthropoda; Arachnida; Ixodida; Argasidae
Exons: 4
Source: RefSeq, a predicted model, not a curated record